This 497-nucleotide ribosomal RNA is filed under the name uncultured bacterium. Its description in RNAcentral is "partial 16S ribosomal RNA". It matches the Rfam family "Bacterial small subunit ribosomal RNA", at positions 28 to 507 of the family's 1533-position model. The record is from RNAcentral.
GAUGAACGCUGGCGGCGUGCCUAAUACAUGCAAGUCGAGCGAACAGACGAGGAGCUUGCUCCUCUGACGUUAGCGGCGGACGGGUGAGUAACACGUGGAUAACCUACCUAUAAGACUGGGAUAACUUCGGGAAGCCGGAGCUAAUACCGGAUAAUAUAUUGAACCGCAUGGUUCAAUAGUGAAAGACGGUUUUGCUGUCACUUAUAGAUGGAUCCGCGCCGCAUUAGCUAGUUGGUAAGGUAACGGCUUACCAAGGCAACGAUGCGUAGCCGACCUGAGAGGGUGAUCGGCCACACUGGAACUGAGACACGGUCCAGACUCCUACGGGAGGCAGCAGUAGGGAAUCUUCCGCAAUGGGCGAAAGCCUGACGGAGCAACGCCGCGUGAGUGAUGAAGGUCUUCGGAUCGUAAAACUCUGUUAUUAGGGAAGAACAAAUGUGUAAGUAACUAUGCACGUCUUGACGGUACCUAAUCAGAGAGCCACGGCUAACUACGUG